UUGUUUGUUGCAACGCCAAUUACAUUUGUUUUGGGAAGGGAAACAUUCCAAACUAUGUCAUAUACAGAUACAUUGAGCAUUAUCCGAAUCAAAAAUUGUGUUUUGAGUAUCCUAAUUCUGAAGAUGGAUGCACCAAUUUACUUUGCCACUGUAAGAUAUUUAAGGGAAAGGAUCUCAUGGUGGAUUGAUGAAAAGGGAGACAAGUUUGAAGUAUGUUAUAAUGAAUCUGAAUGGUAUGCAUAACCAACUACUGAGUUUUGGAGUGAUGGGGUUAUUCUUUAUAUUCUAUUGAUUUGGUACAUUUGACAUCAUUUUAAGGUAAUAUAAUAGCAAAAUGUGUUACCAUUUACGUUCCAAAUUUGUUGAAGCUAUUUGUUCCAUGAGAUGUGAAACUUUUUGGUUACUUCAUAAUUUGAUUCAUUUACUUUCUACACAAUGCUAUCUUGAAGAACAUGCUCAUUGAGAAUUUCAUUAAAUAUUUCAAUGUUAAGUAAGUGAUAUCUCAAACUGAUUA
This is a long non-coding RNA of Medicago truncatula (barrel medic), 514 nucleotides long. RefSeq lists it as uncharacterized. The transcript has 3 exons. NCBI's taxonomy places the organism in Eukaryota, Viridiplantae, Streptophyta, Magnoliopsida, Fabales, Fabaceae. The record is from RefSeq and is a predicted model, not a curated record.